Molecule: long non-coding RNA, 3907 nt
Filed under: Oryza sativa (Asian cultivated rice)
Lineage: Eukaryota; Viridiplantae; Streptophyta; Magnoliopsida; Poales; Poaceae
Description: long non-coding RNA (OSAT_LNC000134)
Source: RNAcentral
CAUAGAUUACAAGGAGGCCGUCAUCAACAUCAUCCAUCUCCUUCCGUUUCCAUGCCCUCUCCAGAAGCUCAUGGUCGACAGUUUACCGCCUGAUGACUACCAUGGCUGUAACUUAUACAGGAGGAUUCCUGCAAAAAUAGUAAGCUGCUCAAAAGAGUUUACACCAAGUGGUACCUCUCCAGUUCCGUACGAACUUGACCAUCUCCAGAAUGCUGCCGAAAAUAUCUUCGGCCCAAUAUCCUGCCUUAGCGGCACAGGACAGUACUUCUCAUAUUUGGUGCAUGCUCAGCUAUACAUGUAUUUGCUUCCAUUGGAUUGCAGGAUCGUCUCCAGAGGCUCCAUUCCAAUUCCUGGCUCAGACUCCUGCAGUGGCCCAACGUUCAAGGAAAAAGCAGAAAAAUUCAUCAACUUUGCUGAGACGACUGUCAGUUGGGGGUCCUUUCAAGAUGGAGUUCUCGACAACUGCAUGGCGUGUGAACGUCAAAAGCAACUCUGUGCAUUCAGCUCACGAAGGAAUCAAACAUUCUGCACAAGCCACGGCAAUCAUCAUGGUACUAACUAUCCUAACUGCACAAACAUGAUCGUACCACCCAGCUUUGUUCCUGAACUAGUUUUCUACUCUUACUAUGAUUCAAGCAUUCAGCCAUACAGUACUAGUGCACCGCUCUCAAUACAUAUGCUCAAAACUAUUUUUGCAGGCUAGUAGCCUACUACUAGAAAUCAUUUAGGGAACUAACUAGCUUCAUCAAACAUUUUUGCACAAUUGCCAUAAAAGUGUCACAAUAUUUAGUAAAAUAAUGAUAGAAUUAUCUUGAUCAACUAGCAGCAGUUGGACGAUACAUGACAUUAAAGAUCAUAAAACCUGGGACUUCUCAAAGAUAUUUGCUAGAAUUGAUAUUGUCUAUGAACUUAUUGAGACUGCCUCUAUAAGACUUCCUUAUGGUUUCCUCUAGAAGUAGAAAGUAGCUCGAAUAUGUAAACAAGACUGCAAGGGAACACUUGACUGGGACAAGAUAUAAUCUAAGUUUUUUUUUAUUUUUUUGCCAGGUCGGCGAAAGGAAGCCGACCAAAAUUCAUUAAGAUAAAGGAAUAAUUACAGAGGUAUACACGAUAUAAUCUAAGUUUUGGUUUGUUACCUGAUAUAACAGGAGCUGCAGUUAGAUCUUUGGUUGCUUUGAUAAUAGAUUAGUAGACAUGGGAGGUGAUAUGUGGAAGCCUUUAUAAUUUAGCCCAUAACCCACCUCAACUCAUCCUAAUCAUCCUUAUCUGGCAUGACAAAAAUACGAGAGUUAGCACACAGAACUGUCUUAUGAUGAUACUGCAAAAUAAGAUGUAAGGAAAAUUUCACUAUUGCAAAUAUAUUCAUAUGAUCAUGGUGCAUAAAAAUUUAGAGCCAAAACUCUAUCCUACCCCACCAGGGCCAUGUUCGCUGAUACAUUUUGUUGGAUUGCUCUGUUUUUAUUUUCAAGAUGUAAUUAUCCAUUAUCUGUUAAAACCACCAACCAGAACUUAUUAUCUUCGUUCAUACUUGCAGGUUAGCGUGUGAAAGUCAUUUCAGGUACUGCAGUACUCAAACCUACCUUUCUAUUAAAAAGAGAAAAGAAACAAUGUUAUCAGUACAUAUAAAUUCUUAUUGCUAGCAGUUCUGAGUCUUCUGACUCAGCAUUCUUCUGCUAAAAAAGACACCACCUGCUCUUACAGUACCCAUCAGGCAAUCACAAUCAGUUGAUUACUAGCCACAACUUUCGAUCCUAAUGCAAUGUGCUAAUUUCCCCUUCUCUGUUAAUUCAGCUACAUCAUCGGUAGCCGCAUUUGUUGUUUUUUCGUUCAUCAUGGCCACAGCACUCUAUCUUUCACUGAAGUCAAGGUAUGAUGAAGAGGUACAUUUGAAGGUUGAAAUGUUCCUCAGGACAUAUGGCACAUCGAAGCCCACAAGGUACAGUUUCUCUGAUGUUAAGAAGAUAACGAGACGCUUCAAGGAACAAUUAGGUCAGGGUGGAUUUGGAAGUGUAUACAAAGGACGACUACCAAACGGAGUGCCUGUGGCAGUUAAAAUGAUAGAACACUCUACAGGAAAUGGAGAAGAGUUCAUCAAUGAAGUAGCAACAAUUGGACAAAUUCAUCAUAUAAACAUUGCCCGCCUUCUGGGAUUCUGCUCUGAAGGAACACGGCACAUUCUUAUCUAUGAAUUCAUGCCUAAUGAAUCAUUGGAGAAAUGCAUAUUCUUGCAUGACCCUAAUACUUCUCAAGAACUCCUAGCACCAAAAAAGAUGUUAGAUGUUGCCUUAGGCAUUGCCCGAGGAAUGGAGUAUCUUCAUCAAGGAUGCAACCAACGCAUCCUCCAUUUUGAUAUCAAGCCUAAUAAUAUAUUGCUUGACUAUAACUUCAAUCCGAAGAUUUCAGACUUUGGUCUUGCAAAGCUGUGUGCAAGGGACCAAAGCAUUGUUACCUUGACCAAAGCAAGAGGCACGAUGGGCUACAUUGCACCAGAGCUAUAUUCUAGGAACUUUGGGGAGAUAUCUUACAAGUCAGAUGUAUAUAGUUUUGGCAUGCUUGUGUUAGAAAUGGUGAGUGGAAGGAGAAACUCAGACCCGAGUAUUGAGAACCAAAAUGAGGUCUACUUUCCAGAGUGGAUCUAUGAGAAAGUAAUUACUGAGCAGGACUUUGUACUUAGUAGGGAAAUGACAGAAGAAGUAGACUGAAGGUUAGACAGAUGGCCCUCGUGGCACUGUGGUGCAUUCAGUGGAACCCAAGAAACCGUCCCACAAUGACGAAGGUUGUAAACAUGCUAACUGGAAGGUUGCAGAAUAUAGAGGUGCCCCCUAAGCCAUUUGUUUCAUAUGAAAGCCAUGUUGUGCCAUAAAUCAUAGUAAUGUUAUGGGAGUUAUACUUAGUUGACGUGCUGCAUAGUAAUGCUGAUUAACUGUAUGAAGUAUGAAUCGUCGCUCUUUAUUACCAUGUAUUAAAAGUAAUAAGAAACACAUCAGUUGAUGUGAUUACCUUGUUCAGUUGUUGCGAUGUAUAUCUCCAUCCAACCACGGUGUGCAGAGUACUCCUCGCUGUACUAUUUCAGUAAGAUGCCGUCCUCGUCCGUUUCAUGGGUCCAUAUCUAGUGGCUUGCAAGAAAAUCCUGCAAGGAAAUUGAAUUAUGGCAAUUUUUCCCAUGCAGCACAAAUAUAAAAUAUCGAAGCAAAGAGUAUUAUUUUUGUCUGUUUGUCCGUGCGAACGGCCGACUAGGGUAACAUUCAUACCCUGAAUUCGUCACUGAAUAAAGAAGUAGAUUCAUAUCCUAAAUUCCUCACUGAACUAAGAAGUAUAAUAAGUUAAGUUGGCUUGGUCACAUUCCUAUCCAUCCCAUUCAAAAAGUCAGGGCCCGCCUAUCUAUCUGAUGGAAAUCUCACAGCAAACAGGAUGCUGCUGGGCAAGCAAUCGAGGAGCUACGAAUUUGCAAUGUGAAGAGAUGAAUGGGCAUGGACUCGACUAGUGAAUAAGUACACUUUAAUAAAAACUUAGGAAAAAUAAUCAAAAGCAGAGGAAACGGGCUACCUUUAUCAAUGCAAGGAGGGGGCAGCGAACCGAACAACCACCGGAUCAGGAGACCUCCCCGAGUUCUGUCAAUCCUGCGGCUCGGCGUGGCAUCCCGCUUGGGGCCUGGAUUUGCGGCUCGGGUCUCACAAGGACGCAGGGAGAAGGCGACGCAUAGCCCGGGCAACGCGCAUUGACGGCGGAGCGCAAAGCAGAGACAUCGCCGGGGAAGCAGAGGCGGCUGGGAGUCGGUGGGAUCGCCGGCGACGGCGAAGGGUUCGUGGCAAGAGAGGGAGGAAAGGGGAUUCCGUACGGUUUGCAACCAGAAACUAAGCUCGGCCUAGGGCUAGUAAUGGGGCCGGCCCUAAAGCUCCUGCCGCUA